This 253-nucleotide ribosomal RNA is filed under the name uncultured bacterium. RNAcentral describes it as "partial 16S ribosomal RNA". It matches the Rfam family "Bacterial small subunit ribosomal RNA", at positions 524 to 776 of the family's 1533-position model. The record is from RNAcentral.
UACAGAGGUCCCGAGCGUUGUUCGGAUUCAUUGGGCGUAAAGGGUGCGUAGGUGGUGAGGCAAGUUCGGUGUGAAAUCUCCGGGCUUAACCCGGAAAUGGCAUUGAAAACUGCCUUGCUAGAGGGUUGGAAGGGAGACUGGAAUUCUUGGUGUAGCAGUGAAAUGCGUAGAGAUCGAGAGGAACACCAGUGGCGAAGGCGAGUCUCUGGACGACUCCUGACACUGAGGCACGAAAGCUGGGGGAGCAAACAGG